Equus caballus (horse) is the source of this 2053-nucleotide non-coding RNA. The record is from RefSeq and is a predicted model, not a curated record. Lineage: Eukaryota; Metazoa; Chordata; Mammalia; Perissodactyla; Equidae.
CCCGCCCCGCGCCGGGCUCUCGGGCGGCGGGUCUGCGGCGACGGCUGCUGCCACCCUCGCCAACCCCGAGGUCCCGGAGAGGAGGCGCCGCGGCCGACACCAGGCCGCCAUGUUGUUUACAGACUGUCGCCCGAGAGGGCGAGGAGAGGGUCCCCGCGCCCCGGCCGUACUGUAGGGUCUGGACUCGGGGGAUCAAGGCGAGGGCUGCCAAGGGUCGGGAGGAGAUGGAGAGUGCCCGGGUGGCGCCUGGAGGGCAGGGCGGGCGCCCUGGCUUGGGGCGCCUGGACCCGCCGGAUCCGGGCUGGGGGCCUUUCCCUCCCCAGGGCCCACAAAGCCGUCUGCCGCGGGGCUGCUGCUUGUCCCUGCCGUCCCUGCUCCCCCCAGGACAGCGGUGGCGAGCCCGCGCAUCCUCGGGAGACAGCCCUGCCUUUCUUAGUGGACCGACCCUUUCUAGAUCCCUAGUAGCCCCCCCCUACAAAGAAAAAGCCUGGGGGUGAGGGGCAGUGAGACGUCGUGGCCCCCCCUUCCCACCGCAGGGCCGGACGGCCAGGCCACACUUUCCAUUCCUGUUCCUCUUGUCCCCCCUUUCUCUGCCAAAUCCGCCUCUCCCUUCCCGUCCCCACGCGCCUACAUCUCUCUCUCUCUCUCUGCAUCCCUUUGCUGCCUCCUAUUCCUUCCUUGUUCCUUUCCUUUUAUAAAUUACAGAUGGACAGACCCAAAUUCUGCUGCAUAAUCCGUAAUGGGUAAGAACUUUAAAACUGAGGCGGAAAGCUUUUAAUCGUGAUAUUAAAACAACCCCAACCCCCACGCCACCUAGACAAUUUCCUUUCCUUUCUUAUCGCCCCCUCUUUUUCCUUUCUCAGUCUCUUGGAGCUGCGGAGACACCUGCUGAUCUAAGAGAAGGGAGAGUCAGAAUGCGCUGUAUGACCUUAAUAUUAAAAAUAGGGAGUUUCUCGACAUCCAAGUCUUCAGAUUUUUAAGUUGUGGCUUUGUUGUUUUACUCGAGGUUGAGUGAAUUUUCAGAUCGAGAUCCAAAUAUGAGAACCAAAAAUAUGAAACAAACCCAGAUGAUGUUUGGGUUAUCUAUUGCUUUACCUAAUUAACAGUUAUUAGCAUAAGUAAGUACUAGUUACAGUGCAUUGCGAGAUGAGGCUGCCUGUUUUUCAAACCCAGAAUUUGUAACAAGCGGAUCUGAAGCAAUGUAAUGAAUAUAAUAAUUGGUAUUCAAGAUUACCUUCUAAAUUAUAAAUUCUGACUUUCGUUUAUAGAAAGUCUUUCUGGUUUUAAUAUAGUUGCUCUCAUCACCUAUUUAAAUGUUAAUUAGCAAAAGGUAUGGAGUAAGUGCCAUAUAGUCAGCAAAAAGUAUUUCAGUGAUAAUUAGCCUUGGAGGGAAAUGAUGUAUACACAGGUUACUCUGAAGCAUUCUCCUCCUUUCUAUUUUUCUUGAAUUCUUUUUCAGGAUUUUCUUUCCUUCUUAAACCUCUGAAAUACUUAUCCUACGGAGAGGAACAUACAAGUAUUUCCUAACUUUAGCAGGUCAGCAUGCCGAUCUUUUGAUAAAGCAACAACUCAGAUGUUAUUCCAAAAACGGAAGCUUUUAUUUUAACUACAAGAUAUUCUAUGCUGCUAAGAACGUACUGAAAUACUGUUUUGAAUCUGUACAACUCGUUCUUUAGAAUAUCCCCAGUGGUGUGGUCAUGGCACAGAAGGGAAGGACCGUGUCGACUUAGUUGUUGAGUUCCCAUGUGUAGCACACUAUCUGGAGCGUACUGCUGAGGAAGCACUCGAUAAGCUCAGAAUGGAUGAAACAAGACGUUUUCUUAAUGUGGCUUGUAAGGGGCUCUGAAAACAAUUUCCAAAGAGGAAUUUCAAAAACAUUCUGAGUGACGGGCUGCUCUCAUUCAGGAAGCUGAAGUGCUGAGUUACAUCAUCAGCCACAGGAUAAAUAUAUCCUGUGAUAUGAGGAUUGCCAACACGAGGACACCUUCCAGAAUGUCAAGGAGUUCCUGGCUUCAGGGUCUGUGCUAAUGCAUUCUGAUGAUUGUGGACCAUU